RNAcentral lists this ribosomal RNA (405 nucleotides) under uncultured bacterium. Its description in RNAcentral is "partial 16S ribosomal RNA". It matches the Rfam family "Bacterial small subunit ribosomal RNA", at positions 28 to 526 of the family's 1533-position model. The record is from RNAcentral.
GACGAACGCUGGCGGCGUGCUUAACACAUGCAAGUCGAGCGGAGCGGCGGACGGGUGAGUAAGGCGUGUGUAACUGCCCCCCUCUCUGGGAUAACAGUUGGAAACGGCUGCUAAUACCGGAUAGUGGGGGGGGACUCGCGUCCUAUCAGCUUGUUGGUGGGGUAGUGGACUACCAAGGCGACGACGGGUAGCCGGCCUGAGCGGGCGACCGGCCACAUUGGGCUGAGAGACGGACCAAACCCCUACGGGAGGCAGCAGUGGGGAAGAUUGCACAAGGGGGGGAAGCAUGAUGCAGCAACGCCGGGUGCGGGAUGACGGCCUUCGGGUUGUAAACCGCUUUCAGCCAUGACGCGGUAGUGGCAGAAGAAGCACCGGCUAACUACGUGCCAGCCGCCGCGGUAAUAC